AACGCACAUGGCGCUUCUGGAAACUCUCUGGGAGCAUGCUUGUUUCAGUGUCUGUGGCAACCCUCCGUCGGCUGCGCGCGAGCGCAGUCCGCGGGAAUGUGGGUGUCCGGCGCUUCACUGCCGCCGGUUGCCUGAAGUGCACCAGUGGGCACGCGGCUGAGUCCGCCUUCAAUGCGAUCGUGCUAUCCCAAACGCGGGACGUGCGUCGGCGCCUGGUGUGGUGGUGUGGCCUCUGCGCUGCAACCCGCCCCAAGUGCUGCACCCUGUCCUCUGCGGGCGCGAGCCGCGAAGGCCUCAGUGUCUUUGUGUGUCGAGGGAACCGCGCUUUUUUUGCGCGCGUCCCCCACCCAACUCUAAACACUCAAGCAUCGGACCUGAAAUCAAGUAAGACUACCCGCUGAAUUUAA
Molecule: ribosomal RNA, 407 nt
Filed under: uncultured fungus
Lineage: Eukaryota; Fungi
Description: eukaryotic LSU rRNA
Source: RNAcentral